GAUGAACGCUGGCGGCGUGCCUAAUACAUGCAAGUCGAGCGAACGGACGAGAAGCUUGCUUUUCUGAUGUUAGCGGCGGACGGGUGAGUAACACGUGGAUAACCUACCUAUAAGACUGGGAUAACUUCGGGAAACCGGAGCUAAUACCGGAUAAUAUUUUGAACCGCAUGGUUCAAAAGUGAAAGACGGUCUUUCUGUCACUUAUAGAUGGAUCCGCGCUGCAUUAGCUAGUUGGUAAGGUAACGGCUUACCAAGGCAACGAUGCAUAGCCGACCUGAGAGGGUGACUGGCCACACGGGAACUGAGACACGGUUCAGACUCCUACGGGAGGCAGCAGUAGGGAAUCUUCCGCAAUGGGCGAAAGCAUGACGGAGCAACACCGCGUGAGUGAUGAAGGUCUUCGGAUCGUAAAACUCUGUUAUUAGGGAAGAACAUAUGUGUAAGUAACUGUGCACAUCUUGACGGUACCUAAUCAGAAAGCCACGGCUAACUACGUG
Molecule: ribosomal RNA, 497 nt
Filed under: uncultured bacterium
Lineage: Bacteria
Description: partial 16S ribosomal RNA
Rfam family: Bacterial small subunit ribosomal RNA
Source: RNAcentral